RNAcentral lists this ribosomal RNA (471 nucleotides) under uncultured bacterium. Its description in RNAcentral is "partial 16S ribosomal RNA". It matches the Rfam family "Bacterial small subunit ribosomal RNA", at positions 28 to 507 of the family's 1533-position model. The record is from RNAcentral.
GACGAACGCUGGCGGCAUGCCUAACACAUGCAAGUCGAGCGAGGACGUCUGGUGCUGGCACCAAUUGGAAGAGAAGGGGACGGGUGAGUCACGCGGGGUGGGUAUGACUUUGAGAGAGGGGCAACAAUAGGGAACGAAGUCUAAGACCGAAUAACAACUUUAAACAGAAUGGGUCAGUGUGAAAGUAGCAAUUGUAUCACCCAAAGAUGGACCAACGCUGCAUUAGAUAGUUGGUGAGGUAAACGCCCAACAAGGAGUCGAUACAUAGCUGGUCUGAGAGGAUGAUCAGCCACACUGCGACUGAGACACGGACCAGACUCCUGCGGAUGGCAGAAGUGGUGAAUAUUGGACAAUGGGCGAGUGCCUGAUCCAUCAAUGCCGCGUGAGUGAUGAAGGCGUUAGGGUUGUAAAGCUCAUUUAACCGGGAUGAUAAUGACAGUACCGGGACAAUAAGCUCCGGCUAACUCCGUG